RNAcentral lists this ribosomal RNA (1379 nucleotides) under Delftia sp. RNAcentral describes it as "bacterial SSU rRNA". It matches the Rfam family "Bacterial small subunit ribosomal RNA", at positions 64 to 1442 of the family's 1533-position model. The record is from RNAcentral. Lineage: Bacteria; Pseudomonadati; Pseudomonadota; Betaproteobacteria; Burkholderiales; Comamonadaceae.
GAACGGUAACAGGUCUUCAGACGCUGACCAGUGGCGAACGGGUGAGUAAUACAUCGGAACGUGCCCAGUCGUGGGGGAUAACUACUCAAAAGAGUAGCUAAUACCGCAUACGAUCUGAGGAUGAAAGCGGGGGACCUUCUGGCCUCGCGCGAUUGGAGCGGCCGAUGGCAGAUUAGGGAGGUGGUGGGAUAAAAGCUUACCAAGCCUAGGAUCUGUAGCUGGUCUGAGAGGACGACCAGCCGCACUGGGACUGAGACACGGCCCAGACUCCUAGGGAGGCAGCAGAAUAUAAUUUUGGACAAUGGGCGAAAGCCUGAUCCUGCAAUGCCGCGUGCAGGAUGAAGGCCUUCGGGUUGUAAACUGCUUUUGUACGGAACGAAAAAGCUCCUUCUAAUACAGGGGGCCCAUGACGAAUACCGUAAGAAUAAGCUCCGGCUAACUACGUGCCAGCAGCCGCGGUAAUACGUAGGGUGCGAGCGUUAAUCGGAAUUACUGGGCGUAAAGCGUGCGCAGGCGGUUAUGUAAGACAGAUGUGAAAUCCCCGGGCUCAACCUGGGAACUGCAUUUGUGACUGCAUGGCUAGAGUACGGUAGAGGGGGAUGGAAUUCCGCGUGUAGCAUUGAUAUGCGUAGAUAUGCGGAGGAACACCGAUGGCGAAGGCAAUCCCCUGGACCUGUACUGACGCUCAUGCACGAAAGCGUGGGGAGCAAACAGGAUUAGAUACCCUGGUAGUCCACGCCCUAAACGAUGUCAACUGGUUGUUGGGAAUUAGUUUUCUCAGCAAUGAAGUUAACGCGUGAAGUUGACCGCCUGGGGAGUACGGCCGCAAGGUUGAAACUCAAAGGAAUUGACGGGGAACCGCACAAGCGGUGGAUGAUGUGGUUUAAUUCGAUGCAACGUGAAAAACCUUACCCACCUCUUACAUGGCAGGAAGUUUCCAGAGAAGGAUUCGUGAUCGAAAGAGAACCUGCACACAGGUGCUGCAUGGCUGUAGUCAGCUCGUGUGGUGAGAUGUUGGGUUAAGUCCCGCAAUGAGCGCAACCCUUCUCAUUAGUUGGUACAUUCAGUUGAGCACUUUAAUGAGACUGCCGCUGACAAACCGGAGGAAGGUGGGGAGGAGGUCAAGUCCUCAUGGCCUUUUUAGGUGGGGCUACACAAGUCAUACAAUGGCUGGUACAGAGGGUUGCCAACCCGCGAGGGGGAGCUAAUCCCAUAAAACCAGUGGUAGUCCGGAUCGCAGUGUGCAACUGUAUUGAGUUAAGUCGGAAUAGGUAGUAAUCGCGGAUCAGCAUGCCGCGGUGAAUAUGUUCCCGGGUCGUGUACACACCGCCCGUCACACCAUGGGAGCGGGUCUCGCCAGAAGUAGGUAGCCUAACCGC